UCAUCGGCCUCAGAUUGGUAGGACUACCCGCUGAACUUAAGCAUAUCAAUAAGCGGAGGAAAAGAAACUAACAAGGAUUCCCCUAGUAACGGCGAGUGAAGAGGGAAGAGCCCAAGAUUGAAAGCUGGCGUCUUCGACGUCCGCAUUGUAAUCUCAAGAAGUGUUUUCCGCUUCGGACCAAGCCUAAGUCCCCUGGAAAGGGGCAUCAUAGAGGGUGAUAAUCCCGUACAUGGCUUGGAGCGCCCGUAGCUUUGUGAUACACUUUCUAAGAGUCGAGUUGUUUGGGAAUGCAGCUCAAAAUGGGUGGUAAAUGCCAUCUAAGGCUAAAUAUUGGGGAGAGACCGAUAGCGAACAAGUACAGUGAUGGAAAGAUGAAAAGAACUUUGAAAAGAGAGUUAAACAGUACGUGAAAUUGCCAAAAGGGAAGGGUAGGAGGUCAGAGAUGCGGCCUGGGAUUCAGCCUUGCUUUUGCUUGGUGUUUUUCCCAGAUUGCAGGCCAACGUCGGUUUUGGGCACUGGAGAAUGGUGGAAGGAACGUGGCACCUCUCGGGGUGUGUUAUAGCCUUCUACUGGAUACAGCGACCGAGACCGAGGACAGCAGCGUACUCGCAAGAGCGGGCCUUCGGGCACCUUUACGCUUAGGGC
RNAcentral lists this ribosomal RNA (645 nucleotides) under Pseudozyma sp. DMST 17135. Its description in RNAcentral is "eukaryotic LSU rRNA". It matches the Rfam family "Eukaryotic large subunit ribosomal RNA", at positions 1 to 619 of the family's 3401-position model. Lineage: Eukaryota; Fungi; Basidiomycota; Ustilaginomycetes; Ustilaginales; Ustilaginaceae. The record is from RNAcentral.